GUGGUACAAAAAGCUGGUACAAUCUGAAAAAAUAAAGGUGCACAACACUAUGAUGAUGUGAUUCGAGGGUUCGACUCCCUCUCUCACCGCCA
This 92-nucleotide transfer RNA is filed under the name Shewanella baltica OS223. Its description in RNAcentral is "tRNA-Ser (TGA) (tRNA-Ser-TGA-3-1)". Lineage: Bacteria; Pseudomonadati; Pseudomonadota; Gammaproteobacteria; Alteromonadales; Shewanellaceae. The record is from RNAcentral.